RNAcentral lists this long non-coding RNA (1130 nucleotides) under Manacus vitellinus (golden-collared manakin). RNAcentral describes it as "lncRNA (ENSMVIG00005017724.1)". The record is from RNAcentral. Lineage: Eukaryota; Metazoa; Chordata; Aves; Passeriformes; Pipridae.
GGAAUCACACCAGCCUGUGUCCUGCAGCCUCUGCUUCCCUUUCCCUACUCCCAGGAAACUGGGCUUUCCACACACCCAGCCCUUCAGUGGUUUGAGAAGACCUUUUAUGAUUUAUCUUUUUUUUUUAUUAAACUUGUGGAUUGUGGCAGGAGCUCAGAGCUUGCAGGAAACCUUGGUUCAGAGCUCCUGGACUCACCUGGAACCACUCUGCUAAAUAAUAAUAACAACUAACAAUUGUCCAGUAAUGCCAGGCUGCCAACAGGCCCCCUGUUAAAAUCCAGUUUGGUGGCAUCUUCUGAAAUCCCUUCAGAAGUGAAUUCUCUGCACUGAAGAUCCUCGUGUUCCAUUGGCCCCACGCUGGAGGGGUUUAUUUAAAUACAAAUUGAAUCCUCCCACUGGAAAGCUAAACAGGAGAUUAAAAUAGCUGCCAGGGGAUGGGGAAUUUGCUUUAUGAAGAGUCAUUUGACUCAACUUCUUGCUGAUUUCCCCAUUUUUCUUGUUUUAUGGCUAGAGAUGCGUUGGAAUUGUUGCCUGUCCCAGCCAGCAGGGAUGAACCUGGUCACUGUGGGGCUCAAAUUUAACCCCCCUCCAGUCACCUCUGGCACUGGCACUGCUCCAGGGAAGUGGCCACUGGAGAACUGAUGUGGAAACAAGACUUUUCCAGCUCUGGAAGUUCGUUCCCAGCCCCGGCUGCUCCCGGCGCCGCUCGCAUCCCUGGAGGCGCUCGGAAGGGGAUGCUCGGAGGGCACCGGGCAUUUUUGGGGUGAAGUCGCGGCGGGUUCGUGGCCAUGCUCCGCCCGGACUCGGUUUCCCCGGAGCUCCCCCAAAUCCCGUAUUUGGAGCCUUUCUCCCAGCCCAGGCCCUGGCAGGGACGGGGGUGUGCCGUGACCUCUCCCCAGCUGUGAUCUGGCCCAGGCUCUUCCCAUUCCCUCCGCAGGGAUGCAGCCGAAACACAGAGUGACGGGAGCUCUGGAAACACAACCCGGGAGAGGCUGCGGGGCUUGAAAAAGCCCUUCUGGGUUUGUGACUCGUGCAAAAAAGAGAAGCUGUUCGUGCAGAGGCAGCUUUGAGGGGCGAGGGGAGGGACGCAGGUUGGGCAUGGCAGUCGAGGGGAUCGGUCCUGCAGGUUG